CACCAUUAUGUCUCUUUUCUGUGGCAGCUGCACACAAAGAACUCAACAUUAAACAUUGUGUCACAAGUCUCCGUAACACUGAUCCGGGUUUCAACUGAACCAGUACUUUCAUCUUAAACCGGCCUUCAGGUCUGAAGAGCUUCACUUGAUGCGUAAACUGUUUCCUGCACUUACUGUGUGUGUGUGUGUGUUUUUUUUCUGUUGAAGAUUGUAAACCAAAUUUGCAACAAGGACUAUGCAACAAAUGUUACCUGAAUAUAAUUGCACUGCACAUAAAGACUUUUCUUCAAUA
Molecule: long non-coding RNA, 292 nt
Organism: Etheostoma spectabile (orangethroat darter)
Lineage: Eukaryota; Metazoa; Chordata; Actinopteri; Perciformes; Percidae
Exons: 2
Source: RefSeq, a predicted model, not a curated record